This 423-nucleotide ribosomal RNA is filed under the name Triticum aestivum (bread wheat). Its description in RNAcentral is "partial small subunit ribosomal RNA". Lineage: Eukaryota; Viridiplantae; Streptophyta; Magnoliopsida; Poales; Poaceae. The record is from RNAcentral.
AUGUAUGCAGGAUUCCCCCCAGGAGGAUAUGCUCAAUUCCAGGGGGUGAGUCAGUGGCCUAUGCAACAACAACAAAUCCCAUAUCAGUUCCCUUUGCAGCCAGGCAUGAUGCCAUACCAACAGCAGAUACCUUUCAACUCUGGGAGCUCGUCUGGUGGCAAUGUCCCAGCCAUACCCUCUGGAUCCAGCAAAAACAACAAGAAGAAAAAUCCCAAAGGGGGGGCUGGGAUCAACAAUGCUGAUCAGACUCAGAGCAACAGUGAUGUGGAGGGGAGUGCAUCUUAUAAUGUUGAUCCAAAGUUCAUUGGAGCCAUAUGCUAUAACUGUGGACUGCCUGGACACUUUGUGGGGAUGUGCUCUCUGCCCAGGAUCUGUUUCAUUUGUAAAACUGCUGGCCAUCAUAUGGAUGUGUGCCCCACCUAG